CCUACGGGGGGCAGCAGUGGGGAAUAUUGGGCAAUGGGCGCAAGCCUGACCCAGCAACGCCGCGUGAAGGAAGAAGGCUUUCGGGUUGUAAACUUCUGUUCUCAGGGACGAAGCAAGUGACGGUACCUGAGGACUAAGCCACGGCUAACUACGUGCCAGCAGCCGCGGGAAUAAGUUGGUGGCAAGCGUUAUCCGGCUUUACUGGGUGUAAAGGGCGUGUAGGCGGGAAAGCAAGUCAGAUGUGAAAACCAUGGGCUCAACCUGUAGCCUGCAUUUGAAACUGUUUUUCUUGAGUACAGGAGGGGAAGACGGAAUUCCUAGUGUAGCGGUGAAAUGCGUAGAUAUUAGGAGGAACACCAGUGGCGAAGGCGGUCUGCUGGACAGCAACUGACGCUGAGGCGCGAAAGCGUGGGGAGCAAACAGGAUUAGAUACCCCGGUAGUC
RNAcentral lists this ribosomal RNA (443 nucleotides) under uncultured bacterium. RNAcentral's name for it is "partial 16S ribosomal RNA". It matches the Rfam family "Bacterial small subunit ribosomal RNA", at positions 338 to 795 of the family's 1533-position model. The record is from RNAcentral.